GAUGAACGCUAGCGACAGGCCUAACACAUGCAAGUCGAGGGGCAUCGGGGCGAGGAGCAAUCCUUGCCGCCGGCGACCGGCGCACGGGUGAGUAACGCGUAUGCGACCUGCCCGUUGCAGGGGGAUAAUCGGGAGAAAUCCCGUCUAAUACCGCGUAAUGCCGCGGGGCUGCAUGGCCCUGCGGCCAAAGGGAGCGAUUCCGGCAACGGAUGGGCAUGCGUGACAUUAGCUAGUUGGCGGGGCAACGGCCCACCAAGGCGACGAUGUCUAGGGGUUCUGAGAGGAAGGUCCCCCACACUGGUACUGAGACACGGACCAGACUCCUACGGGAGGCAGCAGUGAGGAAUAUUGGUCAAUGGGCGCGAGCCUGAACCAGCCAAGUCGCGUGAGGGAUGACGGCCCUACGGGUUGUAAACCUCUUUUGUCGGGGAGCAAAU
Molecule: ribosomal RNA, 437 nt
Filed under: uncultured bacterium
Lineage: Bacteria
Description: bacterial SSU rRNA
Rfam family: Bacterial small subunit ribosomal RNA
Source: RNAcentral